AUACGUAUGGUGCAAGCGUUAUCCGGAUUUACUGGGUGUAAAGGGAGCGCAGGCGGUACGGCAAGUCUGAUGUGAAAGCCCGGGGCUCAACCCCGGUACUGCAUUGGAAACUGUCGGACUAGAGUGUCGGAGGGGUAAGUGGAAUUCCUAGUGUAGCGGUGAAAUGCGUAGAUAUUAGGAGGAACACCAGUGGCGAAGGCGACUUACUGGACGAUAACUGACGCUGAGGCUCGAAAGCGUGGGGAGCAAACAGGAUUAGAUACCCUGGUAGUCCACGCUGUAAACGAUGAAUACUAGCUGUUGGGGAGCAUUGCUCUUCAGUGGCGCAGCAAACGCAAUAAGUAUUCCACCUGGGGAGUACGUUCGCAAGAAUGAA
Molecule: ribosomal RNA, 376 nt
Filed under: uncultured bacterium
Lineage: Bacteria
Description: bacterial SSU rRNA
Rfam family: Bacterial small subunit ribosomal RNA
Source: RNAcentral